AUGAUGGUUAUAGCUAGUGCUACACUGCUACUGCUCUACUUGACAGGCUUCGCGUGCCACAGAAAAUGCCUCUGCACCUUCUUCACAUUGGACCGCAUAGUUAUCUACCUGUUCUCCGGGAUCGCCAGCAGGAUCUCCUUCAGCCACCAUGACGGAGAAUGCACUCUAGUCGAGUGCGUCGUCGAACAGGAGCACAAAGUUGUCUGCGAUGAUCACCGAGAUGCACUCAUAGUAGAUAGCAUCCACGAUCUGCGGGUUGUUAACCUCGUACCCCGCCGGGCAGAUGCCCUCCACUUCCUGUGUUUGACGUAG
Molecule: ribosomal RNA, 312 nt
Filed under: Triticum aestivum (bread wheat)
Lineage: Eukaryota; Viridiplantae; Streptophyta; Magnoliopsida; Poales; Poaceae
Description: partial small subunit ribosomal RNA
Source: RNAcentral